CUGUCUCAUACCUGGUUCUGUGAGGAAGACUGAGAAGGAUAUAGAGGGUACCAGUCCCACCUUAUCUAGCAGUCACUUCUAGGAAUCACAAGUUGAGAGAGUCCUGUGCAGUUUCUUGGAUUUCAUCUUGUUGUUGCUUUUAAGAUCUCUUCAUCCACAUUUCUGCCUACUGCCUUCAACAUGUUUCAUGAGAGAAUUCCUUCCGGUCUCAGCAUUGAACGAGAUUUUAUGGACCCAGUUGAAUCACCAGAAGCACUGAUUUUACUGAUUCCUAUGGAUGACUUGGAAGAUGGUGUGGAAGAAAUAAUCGAAAUAUAUGAAGAAAUAGGGGAUGACAGCGGAGAGGAGGAGGGAGAAGUGGGAGAGGAAGAGCUGGUGGUGGAGGAGUUGGUGGAGGAGUUGGUGGAGGAGGAAGAAAUAGAGCUGGUAAUAGGAAAAUAUAUUGCUGAGAAUGAGGAGUAGAAAUGAGAAAUAAGAAAAAGAGGAGGAAGAGAAAGCAGAGGAGGAAGAGGAGGAGAAAAGGAUUCAGUGAAAUAAACCUUUACUUGCCAAGCUCAUGCAAGAAAACAAAAAAUGUUAACAAAUCUAUAAUAAAGUUUGCUUACUGGUUUAUUUACUU
This 619-nucleotide long non-coding RNA is filed under the name Mus pahari (shrew mouse). RNAcentral's name for it is "lncRNA (MGP_PahariEiJ_G0006486.1)". The record is from RNAcentral. Lineage: Eukaryota; Metazoa; Chordata; Mammalia; Rodentia; Muridae.